GGACAAAUUUCCCCUUUUUAUAAGGAUACCAGGCAUAUUGGAUUAGGGUUCCUCUCUACUCCAGUAGGACCUCAUCUUCACUAAUUACAUCUGCAAUAACCCUUUCCAAAUAAGGUCACAUUCUGAGGAACUAGAGCAAUCUGAAGAGGAUGUAAGUCAGUUUGAUUCCAAGUUUACACGUCAGACACCUGUCGACAGCCCAGAUGACACAACUCUCAGUGAAAGUGCCAAUCAGGUGUUUUUGAUGGAGCCUCACUCUCUCGCCAGACUGGAGUGCAGUGG
RNAcentral lists this long non-coding RNA (282 nucleotides) under Homo sapiens (human). RNAcentral describes it as "HSALNT0389586". The record is from RNAcentral. Lineage: Eukaryota; Metazoa; Chordata; Mammalia; Primates; Hominidae.